GACACCACCCCAGCCAGCAUGGCCGGCAGGAGCGCACCGCGCUGUCUCCCUCCAGGGAUCCGCACCGCCCUACAAUCCUGCUUUGUGCUGAGAUUGUAGUCCUGCAGGCGUACAACUAACAAGCUGGGUGCAGAUAAGAGACUACAGCUCCCCGCAUCCCAAGCAAAGGUCCCUCCUCUACGGAGCCCCUCCACGCGUCCACUGCGGUUCCGCCGUGCCAAGGGGAGCUUGGCUGUUCACGGGCCUCACCUGCUAGCGAGAAGAUAGCUUGGCCGGGCGGCUGAUCUCACCUUGUAAUUCUGACACUGUGUCUCCCGGGCUUGUCGGCUUCAUGACUUGUGCCCAAAGUUUGAUUUCUCGCAGACCAGGAGGACCCAUUGGACCCCCGGGCUGGCUGCAGGGCCCACACCUGGGUUAGACCUCGCACAGGGACGCUGCUGCCACUGUAAUAAAGCGUGCCUACACGCUUCUGAAACUGGUGUAGGAACAACCUCAGUUCUGUGAAAGGCGGACGCAGCAGGACAGAAUCUCCGUGGACAUCUGUCUGGAGGAGCAAUUUUACUGCGACAUUUUAAAGAAACAAAUUUAAUUGAUUUCCAAGGGUGUCCAUCGCGCUUCCUUCACUGCCUUGAUCAUGUCGGGGUCACCACCUGCGGGGGUUUGUCCUGCAGACCCUGACUCAACGACGGAUGAAUAAUGUACACUGACACAGAUCUUAUGCUUGUCAGUCCUGCUGAGCAUCCAGGCCACUUACAGACUCCAAGAAGAGUCCUGUCAGCCACGGCUCUGACUUGUUGGCCCUCCCGGCAUUUAUUUAGCACACAUUUAAUGACAGAAGUCUCAGGCUGGAAACACUCUUUUUGUAGAACAUACAAAUGGACAUUUCUAAGCACAUUGAGGCCUAUAAUGAAAAAUCAAAUAUCCCACAAUGAAAACUAGAAGGAAGCUAUCUGUGAUAAUGCUUUGUGGUGUAUGGAUUCAUCUCACUGACUGAAACCUGAGUUUUGAUUCACCAGGUUAAAAACGCUCUUUUUGUAGAACCUACAAAAAGACAUUUCUGAGCCCAUUGAGGCCUACAGUGAAAAACCAAGAAUCCCAUAAUACAAUCUAGAAAACAAGCUAUCUAGGAAACUGUUUUGGAUGUGUGGAUUCAUUUAACAGAAUGGAAAUAGUGUUUUGAUUCACCAUGUUUGAAACACUCUUUUUGUGGAAUGCACGAAGAACAUUCUUUGUGGAAGAACAUUGAUGCCUAUAGUGAUUAACCAAAUAUCACGUGAUGCAAACUAGAAACAAGCUAUCUGUGAAAAUGCCUUGCAGCGUAUGGAUUCAUGUCACAGAGUUACACCUAUGUUUUGAUUCAACAGGUUGGAAACAAUCUUUUUGUAGAAUCUACAAAGGAAUAUUUCUGAGCCAAUUGAGUUCUAGAGUGAAAAACAGAAUAUCCUGUGAUAAAAACUAUAAAUAAGCUCUCUGUGAAAUUGC
Homo sapiens (human) is the source of this 1482-nucleotide long non-coding RNA. Ensembl annotates it as long intergenic non-protein coding RNA 662. Lineage: Eukaryota; Metazoa; Chordata; Mammalia; Primates; Hominidae. The record is from Ensembl.